AAGGAAAAGGAAGCACGUUAGGAAAAUGUCUUAUUUAGUUUUGAGAGGUCUUGUGGGGCCUUAGCUCAGCUGGGAGAGCGCCUGCUUUGCACGCAGGAGGUCAGCGGUUCGAUCCCGCUAGGCUCCAUAGUCACUUGAAAGUUAUCGAGUGAUGAAGACCUGACAACGAAGUCAUAAAAAUAGUAUGUCCAUUGAAAAUUGAAUAUCUAUAUCAAAUUCCGCAAUCAGAAAUGAUUGUAGAAAAGUAACAAGAAAUAAACCGAAAAAAAGCUGAAAAUAUUUAAUGAGUUUAACUAGUUUGAAAUAUACUAGUAAAAUAA
This 320-nucleotide transfer RNA is filed under the name Streptococcus phocae. The stretch from base 55 to 127 matches the Rfam family "tRNA". Lineage: Bacteria; Bacillati; Bacillota; Bacilli; Lactobacillales; Streptococcaceae. The record is from RNAcentral.